AGUAACACGUGAGCAACCUACCCUUCAGUGGGGGGACAACAGUUGGAAACGACUGCUAAUACCGCAUAAGACCACGAGAUGGCAUCAUCUUGGGGUCAAAGGAUUUAUUCGCUGAAGGAUGGGCUCGCGUCCAAUUAGCUAGAUGGUGAGGUAACGGCCCACCAUGGCGACGAUUGGUAGCCGGACUGAGAGGUUGAACGGCCACAUUGGGACUGAGACACGGCCCAG
RNAcentral lists this ribosomal RNA (228 nucleotides) under uncultured bacterium. Its description in RNAcentral is "partial 16S ribosomal RNA". It matches the Rfam family "Bacterial small subunit ribosomal RNA", at positions 109 to 334 of the family's 1533-position model. The record is from RNAcentral.